CAAAAAUAAGCACUUAAAGCAUUCAGUUUCGACCUAUACCCAUAAACCUUUAAGGUUUUUCAUUGU
This 66-nucleotide transfer RNA is filed under the name Scolopendra dehaani. RNAcentral's name for it is "tRNA-Arg". Lineage: Eukaryota; Metazoa; Arthropoda; Chilopoda; Scolopendromorpha; Scolopendridae. The record is from RNAcentral.